GAAAACAGCUUUAUUUUCCCUGUAUCCUUUGAGCUCUGUGACAUCAGGUCUAUAGGUUGGCCGGAAGUCGAGUCCAGAAGGCCAAUGAAACCCAACCAUAGACCAAUGACAUCAGGUCUAUUUAUCUGACUAAAGGGCAAUUGAUUUAUUCUUUGUUUCUUUUAAAUAGUCCUUCCAAGGGACGCUGAAGGGCACUGUUUAAAAAAGCUAUUUGCUGUACACUGAAAUAAACUUUUAUUUGUAUUCACCCAAAAAAAAAAAUUUAUUUCUUAGGAAGUCUUCCUCUAUUUUUCAUUGCACGGGGAAAACGUGUAGUCUAGUGCACAGCCAUGGGUCAGCUAUGGUUGUUCUCUUUCAAUUCUUUCAUGAAGAAAUUACAGGCCAGCAAAGCCGCCCCAACAGCUGGUUCCACCUGUGGUCUAACCGGAUAAGCCCCAGGGAAGAACUCCUGAAUGCAUUUCACAACUUCUUUUCCUACAUCCCAACUCUUGUUAGCUUCAAGGACACCUCCAACCAUCACAACAGGGAAAGAACCAUUUCCAUCUUCUCCAGAUAAUCCAAGUCUCUGAACAACAGCUUUUACACUUAGAGCCAACUCCUGGACUGCUUUGAGUAAGAUCUUAUUUGCAACUUGAUCAGAAGCUUCUGCACAAAAUACCACUUCUGGAACAAGGGCUGCAAUCCUUGCCCAAGAUGUAUCUGCAUAAGUCCAGCUAAAAUCCCCAGUGAGAGGAUACCAAUCAACUUAUAUUCAAUUCAUGUUCUUCAGGGUGCUGGCCAAUGACCAGAUUUUAGGUUUCUGCUAAAUAUAGAAUGUUUCAAAGCAUACUUAGUUGAGCCGCAUUAAAUUCAACUAUGCCUACCAUAAAAGCAUUGUGAUAGAUAUUCCAAGAACAAAAGCUAAGAUCAUGCUUACCACAACAGGAAAAAAUGCAAAUUCCAAAAAUCUGACUUCAAGAGAGUUCAAAUAUUAAUGAUUUUGUGUUCCCAAAAAAAUUGCACCAUGUUUCGUGUAGCAGUAGCUUGCACAAAGAUUAGGACCUCCCUGUUUCUGCUUUUUGUUGCUUUUGCAACAUCAAACACUUUGUCUAUUUGACGACAGGCAUAUUUCCAUAAUCUGGUUACACUUAGGGUUUUUGAGACUACCAUAUCAGACAGAUAUUAACCAUGCUGUAUGAAGAGAGACAGCCUAUGUGAAAAUGAUCUCUCCUACCACUUAAAAGGCUUAGGAGAAGAAAAGUGAGGUUGAUCCAUUCAAUCGAAAUAUUGACAGCUGGAAUUGGCCUUCUGUCAGUUCACUUCUGAAACUGACAUUCAAUAAGGUUGAAAAAGAGAGGAGCUAGGAAGAUCUUUUAGGAUUUGAUUCAUAUGUCAACUUGUCAAGAAGAUGCUCUGCAUGUGUCUUUAUAGGUGUAUGUGGUCCACAAUCAUGCCAUCCUUCAUAAGCAUACAAUAAAAACAAACCAAUUUCAUUUUUCUACCAGGUCACUUCAAUUCCACAUUCUAUUCCACUCCAUUUUUUUUGCGACUCCAAGCAAAAUUUUUGUUGGUUUCAGCUCCAGGAGAAGAAUGAAGUGUAAAAUGGCAUUGACCAUGUGUGUGUGUGUGUGCUUAUUCAAAUGUUUGACAGACAUGCUUAAUUCACAUUUUAAAGCAACUAUUCAGUAAGUACUUGACAAUCAGAUUUAAGAGUAUAAAAAGCGAUACCCAAUGACUUCAUCAGGAGAAGAAAGAUCCAAUGCCUUCAGAAUUUUAUCAGUAAGCAUUGUCUGUGGACCACGACCAUCAUGAGCCCUUAUUACUGCAGUUAAAGCCUGAGCAGCAAUGCCAUAGCCACUGCAAAUUACCACACAUCACUAUCAUUGAAUUUUUUUAUUAAAGCCCAUAAAGUUAACUAAAGCUCAACUCAAUUAAGUGUUACUCCAAUACUAUUGGGGAUUCUAAAUGAAUAUUUGCCACCAUAAGCUUCAUGUCCAUUUGGAUCAUAUGAUAAGCAUGACACAUGCGGAGUUAUAAAGUUUGUAGAUACUGAUCUCUAAAAUUGUGAAAACUUUCUAUUAGGAGCACAGGACUUCAUAAAUUCAGCAAGAAUGCAACAUUUCAUAAAACGAGCAGCACAAGUCAAGAAGUUCCUUAUUUAGUUUAACUUUUGAAGCUGCACUUAGAAUGGCUCCUUUUGUUUCAAAAUUUUCAUUGUUCAUUACAACAUUCAACAAAGAUGCUGAUCUUGAUUCCUGUUAAAAACCAUUCCUUGUUGCAUCCUCAGGCUUGUAUUCAAAAACCCAGAGCACACGGACAUAAGAGAAAGAUGGUAGUUCCCUUCCCCAAUCACCUAAGAUGGGCCCUACACCAGAAGCCCAAGCUUCUCUACCAUCUUCAGCUAUUCCAUAAGAAAUGCACCCUGUACCAGCAAUUAAUACACAUCCAUGAAGCUUUCCCAUGGUCCCACUUGCCAAAGCAGCAACAGCAUCAUUCUGGACAUACAAUUUCACAUGGCUGGGGAAUAUUUUCCUUAGCCAACUUAGAACCCUUUCUUGAUCAGUUGGAUGGUUAACACCAGAAAUGCCUAAGCAAACAGCACGAACAGCAGAUCUAUUUGAACCUGAUUUUGAAAGGACCUCAGCCAUAACAUCUCCUAAUGUAUCCCUGGCAGAAGAUUCUCCUAUGCUGUUGUGAUUGGAGCAACCAGCAAUUGCACGAGCAAGAAUAGGGAGAGGGUUAGGAAGGGUUUUGGAGAAUGGAAGAAACGGCAUACAUACACAGACAGUGGAGGUGGUCCCACCAUCCAAACCCAGAACAACCCCAUCAUACCCAUCACCAUUUUCACAAUGAUCAUUAGCUAGAGCUACUCGUAAUUCUUGUUUAGAAGCAUUCUCAAAGGCCCAUAUCUCUCCAUUUCUUUGCAUGUAAUUAUCCAUGGAAAUGGAAACAAGAACACCUCACCUCUCCCUAUGAUCUGAGUGUGUCUCGGGCCGAGGAAAGAAGAAGAAAGAAAGACAAGAUAAAGAUUAAGGACGAAUGCCAACGUCAGCGAUCAGACAACCUUUUGUCUGUAUAGGAAAGACUCGCACUUUU
RNAcentral lists this unclassified non-coding RNA (3075 nucleotides) under Hevea brasiliensis (rubber tree). The record is from RNAcentral. Lineage: Eukaryota; Viridiplantae; Streptophyta; Magnoliopsida; Malpighiales; Euphorbiaceae.